UCCGAUAUGGUGUAGUGGCUAACAUUAUCGCCUCUCAGCAAAGCUCAUGUCUGAACGCGAUAGCCCGGGGUUCGAUUCCCCGUGUCGGAA
This 90-nucleotide transfer RNA is filed under the name Grifola frondosa (maitake). It matches the Rfam family "tRNA". From Rfam's summary of the family: Transfer RNA (tRNA) molecules are approximately 80 nucleotides in length. Their secondary structure includes four short double-helical elements and three loops (D, anti-codon, and T loops). The record is from Rfam by way of RNAcentral. Lineage: Eukaryota; Fungi; Basidiomycota; Agaricomycetes; Polyporales; Grifolaceae.